CCCCCCAAUGCAACUUGACCACUGUGUCCAGCCGAGACAAAUCAACAUCAGAAAGGCCUUAGCAACUCUACUACAGUGGAAGACCUAUUGACUUAAUAUUGGUUAAUCAGGUCUUAGUGUUUGCAACUUGAGCCCUUCAUAAGAGGUAAUCGAACAAUUGGCCAGGUAAGCAGGUGGGAGGCUCCCCUUACUCAAAGAGUAAGGUCCUAAUUAAGUAACCACCUUUCAUGCUUUCCUAGACACCAAUUAGAUCAAUUAAUCUAAUAUGACUUGCUCAUGUCGGUUCACUCUCGACUUGAUUGAGGAAGUUUUGAUUUAGGUCUCAAUUGGGUUUGCUACAUCACAUGUAAACCUAUCUACCCGACUCGCAUUCACAUCACAUGCAAACGGUACAUCACAGGCAAUUAUAAUCGCAGCAUCAAAUUAAAGCUAAACUUUAACUAGGUGAUGAUCAUGGAUUCCAAUUAGGUCGUAUUACAAGCACAUGCACAUCAAUCGAUCAAGUGGUCUUCAACUCUUGAAUUGGUUCCAAGCCUCCUUGAUUCGAUCCUUGAUCAACUCUUGAUCCCAUCGCCAUCAACCGCUUAGAUCACCUUUCAUCUCAUACCUUUGCUUCAACUUGAUCGUUGAUGUACAUCACAUCACAGAAAUACAACCAGAUGUAAAAUAAAAAUAAAAAUAAAUUACAUCUCCUUUUAGGAGGCACGCAGGCCUCUCAAAACAUCAAAUAAGAUGCAUGCAAGCAUCUGAAAAAUUACAUGACAUCGCAGAUC
RNAcentral lists this long non-coding RNA (773 nucleotides) under Phoenix dactylifera (date palm). RNAcentral describes it as "long non-coding RNA (PDAC_LNC018401)". The record is from RNAcentral. Lineage: Eukaryota; Viridiplantae; Streptophyta; Magnoliopsida; Arecales; Arecaceae.